This 1367-nucleotide ribosomal RNA is filed under the name Polyphaga sp. 'Paropscimorpha' NLG-2014. RNAcentral describes it as "partial 16S ribosomal RNA". Lineage: Eukaryota; Metazoa; Arthropoda; Insecta; Coleoptera. The record is from RNAcentral.
UUCUUGAAAAUUAAAAAUUUUGGCGGUAUUUUAGUCUAUUCAGAGGAACCUGUUCUAUAAUUGAUAAUCCACGAUUUAAUUUACUUUUUUUAUUAGUUUGUAUAUCAUCGUAAUUGAAUAUUUUAUAAGAAAUUUAAUAUUCAAAAUUUAAUAUAUUAGAAUAAAUCAGAUCAAGGUGCAGUUUAUAAAAAAGAAGAAAUGGGUUACAAUAAAUGAAUUUAAGGAUUAUUAUUAUUAUAAUGAUAUUAAUUUGGAUUUGAUAGUAAUAUUAAUAAAUUAAUUAAUAUGAUUUUAGCUCUAAAAUAUGCACAUAUCGCCCGUCGCUUUCAUUAUAAUAUGAGAUAAGUCGUAACAAAGUAGAUUUACUGGAAAGUGAAUCUAGAAAGUUCAAAUUAGAGCUUGAUUAAAGUAUUUUAUUUACAUUAAAAUGAUAAUUGUGAAAUUCAAUUUAAUUUGAGAUUAAAAAAUUAUUAUUAUAUAUAUAUAUAUAAUUUUUAAAAUAAGUAAAUUAUACGUUUAAUUAUAAAAAAGAAAAAAUUUAUUUUAUUAUAGUAAAUUAGUAUUGAAAGAGAAAUUUUUAGAUUAAAUUAAACAAAAAUUUAUUUUUUGUACCUUGUGCAUCAGGGUUUAUUAAAAAAAAUUAAAAAUUUAAUUAUUUCGAAGUUAAAAGAGCUAAGAAAAUAUUUUUUUUAUUGUAAAAUAAAUAUGAUAAAUAUUUUUUUAGUAAUGAAAUGUUAUUCGUUUUUAAAUAUAUCUAGUUUUUUAAGAAAUAAAUUUAAUUUAUUUAUUAUAAAUAAAAAUUUUUAUUUAUAAAUUUUUAUUAUUAAUAUUUAAUAUUUUUAGGGAUGAGCUUAAAAAUAAAUUAUUAUUAAUUUAUUUAAUUAAUAAAAUUGUAGGAUUAGAAUUUUUUAUCAAUAAAAAAAUGUUAAAAUUAAUUUAUUUUAUAAUAUUAUUUUUAUAAAUUAUAAAUUAUAUAUUAAAAUAUUAAUUAAAAUUUUAAAAAUUAAGCAAUAAUGAUAAAAUUAGUAUAAAUUUAUGUUAAAUUUAUUUAUUUUUAAGUUUAAAUAAAGGAAUUCGGCAAAAUAUUUUCUACCUGUUUAUUAAAAACAUGUCCUUUUGAUUUUAAUUUAAGGUCUGUCCUGCCCACUGAAAAUUUUAAAUGGCCGUGGUAUUUUGACCGUGCUAAGGUAGCAUAAUCAUUAGUUUUUUAAUUAAAAACUGGAAUGAAGGGGUAGAUAAGAAAAUAACUGUCUCUAUUUAAUUUUAUUAGAAUUUUAUUUUUAAGUUAAAAAGCUUAAAUAUUAUUAAAAGACGAGAAGACCCUAUAGAGUUUAAUUUAAAAUUAAAUUUUUUAUUUUAGAAUUAAU